Molecule: ribosomal RNA, 513 nt
Filed under: uncultured bacterium
Lineage: Bacteria
Description: partial 16S ribosomal RNA
Rfam family: Bacterial small subunit ribosomal RNA
Source: RNAcentral
GACGAACGCUGGCGGCAUGCCUAAUACAUGCAAGUCGAGCGAACAGAUGAAGUGCUUGCAUUUCUGACGUUAGCGGCGAACGGGAGAGUAACACGUAAGGAAUCUACCUAUAAGCGGAGGAUAACAUUCGGAAACGGGUGCUAAUACCGCAUAAUAUCUUCUUCCGCAUGGAAGAAGAGUGAAAGACGGCUCUGCUGUCACUUAUAGAUGACCUUGCGGUGCAUUAGUUAGUUGGUGGGGUAAUGGCCUACCAAGACGAUGAUGCAUAGCCGACCUGAGAGGGUGGUCGGCCACAUUGGGACUGAGACACGGCCCAAACUCCUACGGGAGGCAGCAGUAGGGAAUCUUCCGCAAUGGGCGAAAGCCUGACGGAGCAAUGCCGCGUGAGUGAAGAAGGCCUUCGGGUCGUAAAACUCUGUUAUAAGAGAAGAACAAAUUGUAGAGUAACUGCUACAGUCUUGACGGUAUCUUAUCAGAAAGCCACGGCUAACUACGUGCCAGCCGCCGCCGUAA